UUAGUGGCGGACGGGUGAGUAACGCGUGGAUAACCUGCCGUAUACAGGGGGAUAACACUUAGAAAUAGGUGCUAAUACCGCAUAAGCGCACGGUUCCGCAUGGAACAGUGUGAAAAACUCCGGUGGUAUACGAUGGAUCCGCGUCUGAUUAGCCAGUUGGCGGGGUAACGGCCCACCAAAGCGACGAUCAGUAGCCGGCCUGAGAGGGUGAACGGCCACAUUGGGACUGAGACACGGCCCAAACUCCUACGGAAGGCAGCAG
This 262-nucleotide ribosomal RNA is filed under the name uncultured bacterium. Its description in RNAcentral is "partial 16S ribosomal RNA". It matches the Rfam family "Bacterial small subunit ribosomal RNA", at positions 92 to 354 of the family's 1533-position model. The record is from RNAcentral.